RNAcentral lists this transfer RNA (78 nucleotides) under bovine gut metagenome. It matches the Rfam family "tRNA". Rfam says of the family: Transfer RNA (tRNA) molecules are approximately 80 nucleotides in length. Their secondary structure includes four short double-helical elements and three loops (D, anti-codon, and T loops). Further hydrogen bonds mediate the characteristic L-shaped molecular structure. tRNAs have two regions of fundamental functional importance: the anti-codon, which is responsible for specific mRNA codon recognition, and the 3' end, to which the tRNAs corresponding amino acid is attached (by aminoacyl-tRNA synthetases). tRNAs cope with the degeneracy of the genetic code in two manners: having more than one tRNA (with a specific anti-codon) for a particular amino acid; and 'wobble' base-pairing, i.e. permitting non-standard base-pairing at the 3rd anti-codon position. The record is from RNAcentral.
GGUGGCGGAAUUGGUAGACGCGUCAGACUUAAAAUCUGAUGGCCGCAAGGCCGUGGGGGUUCGAGUCCCCCCCUGCCC